GCGCCUGUAGCUCAGAUGGAUAGAGCGGCAGCCUUCGAAGCUGAAGGUCGGGGGUUCGAAUCCCUCCAGGCGCGCCA
Molecule: transfer RNA, 77 nt
Filed under: Deltaproteobacteria bacterium
Lineage: Bacteria; Pseudomonadati; Myxococcota; Myxococcia
Also listed under: 2 other names
Description: tRNA-Arg
Rfam family: tRNA
About the family: Transfer RNA (tRNA) molecules are approximately 80 nucleotides in length. Their secondary structure includes four short double-helical elements and three loops (D, anti-codon, and T loops). Further hydrogen bonds mediate the characteristic L-shaped molecular structure. tRNAs have two regions of fundamental functional importance: the anti-codon, which is responsible for specific mRNA codon recognition, and the 3' end, to which the tRNAs corresponding amino acid is attached (by aminoacyl-tRNA synthetases). tRNAs cope with the degeneracy of the genetic code in two manners: having more than one tRNA (with a specific anti-codon) for a particular amino acid; and 'wobble' base-pairing, i.e. permitting non-standard base-pairing at the 3rd anti-codon position.
Source: RNAcentral